Molecule: microRNA precursor, 82 nt
Filed under: Pelobates cultripes (western spadefoot toad)
Lineage: Eukaryota; Metazoa; Chordata; Amphibia; Anura; Pelobatidae
Source: RNAcentral
UUUUAUACAAAAGAUUUGCAGCUUUUGCAAGCUGCUUUUAUAUAAAAGCAGCUUGCAAAAGCUGCAAAUCUCUUGUAUAAAG